GCCUAUGCAAUUUAGUAAAAACCUUCACCGUGGACCCAAGUCCCUUAGCUCGGCAAAGACCUCUAAAGACCGCCAGAGUUCGCCAAGAGUUCGAAUGCACUUGGGCUAUACAGAUGUGGUGGAACUUCAGAACGGACUUGUAAAAUUUAUCCAGGGGAAACUAGAGCCUGGCUUUUAAUUGUUUUUCAUAUACUAUGAUCCGAUCGGUUUCAUCAAAGAAGUGAUCA
This 227-nucleotide unclassified non-coding RNA is filed under the name Hevea brasiliensis (rubber tree). The record is from RNAcentral. Lineage: Eukaryota; Viridiplantae; Streptophyta; Magnoliopsida; Malpighiales; Euphorbiaceae.